GACGAACGCUGGCGGCGUGCCUAAUACAUGCAAGUUGAGCGAUGAAGCUUGGUGCUUGCACCAAUUUGAAGAGCAGCGAACGGGCGAGUAACGCGUGGGGAAUCUGCCUUUGAGCGGGGGACAACAUUUGGAAACGAAUGCUAAUACCGCAUAACAACUUUAAACAUAAGUUUUAAGUUUGAAAGAUGCAAUUGCAUCACUCAAAGAUGAUCCCGCGUUGUAUUAGCUAGUUGGUGAGGUAAAGGCUCACCAAGGCGAUGAUACAUAGCCGACCUGAGAGGGUGAUCGGCCACAUUGGGACUGAGACACGGCCCAAACUCCUACGGGAGGCAGCAGUAGGGAAUCUUCGGCAAUGGACGAAAGUCUGACCGAGCAACGCCGCGUGAGUGAAGAAGGUUUUCGGAUCGUAAAACUCUGUUGGUAGAGAAGAACGUUGGUGAGAGUGGAAAGCUCAUCAAGUGACGGUAACUACCCAGAAAGGGACGGCUAACUACGUG
Molecule: ribosomal RNA, 497 nt
Filed under: uncultured bacterium
Lineage: Bacteria
Description: partial 16S ribosomal RNA
Rfam family: Bacterial small subunit ribosomal RNA
Source: RNAcentral